Oryctolagus cuniculus (rabbit) is the source of this 890-nucleotide non-coding RNA. NCBI's taxonomy places the organism in Eukaryota, Metazoa, Chordata, Mammalia, Lagomorpha, Leporidae. The record is from RefSeq and is a predicted model, not a curated record.
AGGGUCCCGCGGGGGUCUCUCACGUCCUUCGGAGCGGUGGUGCGUGUGGUCCGUGAGCAUCCAGCCAGGUGGCAGGGUGGAGGGUGUGCUCCGGAAAUGUCGGCUUUUCCCUCCACCCGCAGCCUCAGGCUAAGAAAUCCAAGAUCAAGGAGCCAGUAGAUGCGGUGUCUGAUGACGGAAGGCUCACUUUGUGCGCCACAGAUACGCUCAGAACUGGACCAUUUCCACUGCAACCACCCUGACCUGAACCACCAGCAUCUCUCAACUGGGUCACCAUGACAACCUGCCGACCUUAAGUUCUUCCUGCUUCUAUACUUUCUCCUGCUUCUAGAGGAAUCUUUCAUCUUUUUAAAAGGAUCAGGAGAGCUGGAGGCAGGCAGGACCAGAUGGCGUUCUCGCACGUGCACGGAGGGAACAACUGGAGCUGGGCGGAGCGAGGGCAGCCUCGGCUCGCCAAUUGCUGAUAUGUGCCGCACAGAGGUCGGAGGGGAGUGCUGCCCCUGUGGCCUUAUGGGGGAAAUGUAUUGAAGUGCAUUUUGGGGGUUGGGAUGGGGUCUAUUCCCAGGCAUGUAAGUGUCCUGCAAUGCACAAUACAGUUCCCUCCAAUGAAGACCGUCCUGCUGCAAGUGCCAGGGCCCCUCCGCCCCCCAGAGAGAAACACAGUACUGGAUAAGGCUUGUCUAUGGAAUGUUGCUCAUUGAUAGGAGAUUUUAAGGACUGCUCCUCAAGAAUCCUGCUGGGACCCAGAUAUUCUACUUAUUUAUCAAAUCGCUAACCCAGAUCUAGUUUGAUGUCCCCUACCUUGUGGCAUGCAAAAACAAAACAAACCAAAAAAACUACUAAAAACCAAAAAACAGCACUUUAUGGACUCCAAUAAAGGCUCCUCUCAA